GAUGAACGCUGGCGGCGUGCCUAAUACAUGCAAGUCGAGCGAACAGACGAGGAGCUUGCUCCUCUGACGUUAGCGGCGGACGGGUGAGUAACACGUGGAUAACCUACCUAUAAGACUGGGAUAACUUCGGGAAACCGGAGCUAAUACCGGAUAAUAUAUUGAACCGCAUGGUUCAAUAGUGAAAGACGGUUUUGCUGUCACUUAUAGAUGGAUCCGCGCCGCAUUAGCUAGUUGGUAAGGUAACGGCUUACCAAGGCAACGAUGCCUAGCCGACCUGAGAGGGUGAUCGGCCACACUGGAACUGAGACACGGUCCAGACUCCUACGGGAGGCAGCAGUAGGGAAUCUUCCGCAAUGGGCGAAAGCCUGACGGAGCAACGCCGCGUGAGUGAUGAAGGUCUUCGGAUCGUAAAACUCUGUUAUUAGGGAAGAACAAAUGUGUAAGUAACUAUGCACGUCUUGACGGUACCUAAUCAGAAAGCCACGGCUAACUACGUG
This 497-nucleotide ribosomal RNA is filed under the name uncultured bacterium. Its description in RNAcentral is "partial 16S ribosomal RNA". It matches the Rfam family "Bacterial small subunit ribosomal RNA", at positions 28 to 507 of the family's 1533-position model. The record is from RNAcentral.